CUAUUACUACUAACCUUUAGGCACAAAGAAUGUCUUUCGAUGUGAGUGAUAAAUAGAGAAGACUGCAACCGUAGUCUCCUUCUAACCUUGGUAAGGAUGAUCUACUGUUCUAAUGGGGAGGCUAACGGAAUCUAGACACCACAAAGGAUGUUCGACCCGCACCUAUAAACCCUAUCCUUCCUGCUAACGAGAUGUGAUCUACAAAGGUAGCUUGGAAUUGUCACGUUCCUCACUACUACCACGGUCUAGCUAGUCAGGGAAUAUCUAUCAGUACCCCAGCCUAAACACCACAUUUACGCCAGCAAUGAUUACUCUAAACUCUACGCGAAGAGAUUAAAGUAAACUCAUAAACCAUAAGAACAAUAAAACAAGAACUUACUAGAAUUUAGAAGUUGAAUUACUGAAGAAUCCUAGGAGCAAGCUUCGGGUUAGGAGAACUUGAUCCCGCAGGUACAAGCUUGGAGUAGACACCGACAGGCCGGGCUUCCUCCAAUCUACACCUCCACUCUAUCUCUCUCAAUCUAGUAGAAACUAGAAGAUCUAUUUCUACCUUACAUUGGUUGCUAAGCCUAAAAAGAAAUAUUAAUUAGAGAAGAGGUUUUCCUUCGAGGGCACCCCUCAGUCUCUAUGAUAAUUUCUUCAUGUCUUCUCCAGGGGCUAGGGGGGCCUUGCUUAUAUAGUCCUCCCCUUCUAUGCGUUUUUGGGUCGAUAGGUGAGGUGGUACUAUGUUUUUCUUGAUCCAAUAGGUCGGUGGAAUAUCCCAAACGAAGAGAGUCCCGAAAGCAAUCCAGAGGGGGGCGGGCGCCCAGGCCUCCAGGGCAGGCGCCCUGGGCCUGGCCCCGUUUCGCCUCCGCUUCGGUCUCGUGGCUUCUGGAGUCUUCUAGAUGAUGCAAAAUUGCGCGGUGCGUUGAUAUCUCUAUGUAAUCCCGACAUGUGGGCCUUUCUUACUUUCUUCCUUAUUUCCUGAUAACCCCCUGCAGAAACAGAUAAACAACAAAACUCAUGGAAUUCUGUCAGAUCAAACCCUAAUUCUAGGUGUUGGUUGCAUAUUGGUCCUUUCUCUUGUUUAUUUGAUAAUUAAAAUUGAUACUUAAGAACCGUCAACAAAUACCCCCAUACUUAGGCUUUUACUCGUCCUCGAGAAAAGGAUGGUUAAGAAAAAUAUCUGGGGUAAACAUUUUAAAAUAUUCUUUAUAUUUGCAGGGUGUUAAAAAUCCACUGUGUACCAUAGUCAGGGAUGUUUAUGGUCAAGAGAAAAGAUCCUUUCUUCUCAAUCCUGUCACUUGGAGCUUUUGUAUAUUUUUGAAAGAAAGUUAGCAUACCUUUUUAUCCUCAUAGGUUCUCUCAGAUCACUCAUUAUCUUUUAUAUAUCUCACUGAGGUUGUUUUAUUUUGCAAAAAUUCUCAAGCACUCUUACUUUGCAUUUAUUGCCUGAUCAAAACGGGAUCCGAGGAGGGGAAUGUCAUACUCUUAGAUCAAACACUUUGAAAAUUAAAAACUUUGUCAACUCUUGCUGGCAUAUUGCUUAUUAGAGGGACCAUGGGCUAUUAUUUUUUUUAAGUGGAUACCGAGGUAUCCCUAAUUCUAGUGCCGGGCACUUGUCCAUUUUUUUCUGUGAGGUUAUCGAGCACUUGCUCCUUUUUAUUUCCUCGAAAUAUUUCUAUUUUUUCAUAGCCCAUGCCUCUAAUGCAAUAAUACUUCGGAAGAGUGAAUCUUACUGAAAUAAUGUAUUGAUCUUAGGAGCAUGAUAAAUCUCUCAACAAGGGUCUAACUCAUUUUGAACAAACUCAAUACAGAGCAGAUAGCUUUUAUAAUCAUUAUUAAUAUUUUUAGUUUUAUCAGGCAUAUAAAACACUGAGGAUGGUAGCUAGAAAUUUGAAUAUUUUGAAAUAAAUUCUCCAAGCAACAAUGAUAUCAAGAAUAAGAAACUCAUACUCUACCAUUCCAUAUUGACUUAAGUAACACAGGGUUUUAAAAUGAUUUUAUAAUAAUUGCAAGCUUUCAGGAAAUAUCACAGAUUGAGAUUAAUCAUGAUUAGAAAUAUUUUAAUCUUUUUAAUUUAUCAUGUAGGAAACAGUAAUCUGCAUAAUCCAGAAUAAAUGUAUGUGUAAAGUAAAGUGUGCAGAGUGUGUACCUGAGUUGUGGAGUGGUGUAGUCGGAGUGUGUUUGGCAUGUCGCGGGAUCUCCCCCAUACUUGUUUUCUGCUUUCUUGCACAAAAAUAAAGUAGAGACACACAAGACAUAAUAAUAAAAAUAAUAAUACUCUUUAUUGAUCUUGAGGCAUUUAUUACAAAAGACUGAUAGCAAACUGAUAGUAAACUGAUAUUUAGCAAACUUAAGCCGAAUUUAAAGAUAGAUGACUACGAUGCAUUGCCUCAAGAUGUAAUCUAGAUAACUUAGCGGCGCUCUAAUUCCUUGAUCUUCUUAUUGGCACUGGCAAGAUCCUGCCUAAGGCCUAGUAUAAUAGUGUUGUGGUUAGAGAGCUGCCUUGUGAGUGAAUUAAUCAAGGACUGGAGGUCUAUGAUAACUCUAUCUAGCCUGCGAACUUCCUCAUCAAUAUCCAUUAUAGUCUUGCGACGCUUGGGAGGUGUCUCAAAAGCAUUGAGAGAGUGCUUCGGGGCUGCCUUUGGAGGGAUGAAACGGACUUUGGAUGCUCUAAUCCCUUCAAAGUAAGGCCUUUCCUCCUCCGUAGUGUAGCGUACGCUGCUGAUCUCGCCGCUCCGGUUGGUCUUGACUCCAACGACCCUCUCAUUGGGUCUAGGUGGAAGGAUCCUUGUGCCGAUUGGUACCUUGAUAGUGGUCUUCGUCUUGGAUGAUGGUCCUUUGAGGAGUAGGGGUUGUGGUGGUGCGGUGAGAACUGGUUGAGCAUGGUAGGAUUGGGCGGAGCUGCGUUGGCGUAAUGGCAUGGCUUCUAGUUGUCGCUCUGUGUUGGCCGGGACGAGAGCACGGGCAUCGGGGUCUUCCACUGGCUCCAUGUUGAGGUUGAAGGGGACGACUUCCCAAUCAUCGUGGUACUUCUCGGCCAUUGGAGUAGCAAGGAACUAAUAAAAUUUUAAUUGAAGUAGACCUAAUUAAGCUCUAAUUGAAGGAGAGAAAGCUUGGUGGCUUGGUGUUUGAAAACUGAGGUCAGGGGUCUGUUUAUAUAGGGGUCAAAAGGGUGCCUCUAUGGGUUGUUCGGGUUGCUCCCGUCGAUGUGCGUGCGAAACUUUCCAUCCGAGGGAUUAUUCGGAUCACCCUUAGUACAUUUUCCAUAUCAGAGAAAGUCGGGACCGAGGGGGAACAGGAGCUGGGCGCCCGCCCACUUGAUCUGGGCGCCCGCCCUCUCUCUGGCUCCUCUGUGGGCCCACUUUUCCGAGCGUGUUUCUAGAUGCAAAAUUAUUUAGAAAAAUAUAUAUAUGCCCCAAAACCAUCAGACCAAAAGUGUCGGGCUCUAAUUCUCCAUGGGAAGGUAAAAAUGGACUACGUCUAUUUCUUCAAAUUCCUCAUUGGGCUCUAAAAAUAAUUUAAGACGUUGACCAUUUACCUUGAAUAACGUACCUUCGCUAUUUUGAAGUGUGAUAGCUCCGUGGGAUGAUGAAUUGAUUACCUUGAAUGGUCCUUCCCAUUUGCUCCGGAGUUUUCCAUGCCCGAAAAGCUUUACCCAGGAAUUAAAAAGUAAUACCUUAUCUCCGGGUGUGAAGUCCUUCUUCUUGAUUCUCUUGUCAUGCCACCUCUUGACUCUUUCUUUGUAGAUCUUUGAAUUGUGAUAUGCCUUCUCUCGCCAUUCUUCCAAUUCUGAUAGUUGCAUUCUUCUAUAAUCUCCAGCAACAUCCAGGUCCAUAUUCCAUCUCUUUAUGGCCCAGUGUGCUUUGAACUCUAGUUCAACAGGUAGAUGGCAAGUCUUCCCACAUUCCAAUUGGGGUCUUGUAUGCUGUCCGGUAUGCCCAGAGUGCAUCGGGUAACUUGUCUUUCCAUGCCGUUCCCAUUUCAUUUACUGUCUUCUGAAGAAUAUUCUUGAUUUGUUUGUUGGAAGUCUCUGCUUGGCCACUUGUCUGAGGAUGAUAGGGGGUAGCGACGUUGUGACGGAUUCCAUGUCUUGAUAGAUAUUGCUUGAAGCGUUUGUCGAUGAAGUGUGCUCCUCCAUCACUUAUCACUACUCUGGGGACUCCAAAUCUUGGAAAUAUAAUUUCUUCAAACAUCCUCUUUGAACUGACGUUGUCGGCAUGCUUACAAGGUAAUGCUUCUACCCACAUGGAGACAUAGUCAACUGCCACCAAGAUGUACUCACACUUCUUUGAUGGAGGAAAUGGACCCAUGUAGUCUAUUCCCCAGACAUCAAAGAGCUCAAUCUGAAGGUUGUUGGUGAGUGGCAUUGCAUCCCUUGUAUUUAUGUUUCCGUGCCUUUGACAUGGCCCACAUCUUCUGAUAUAUUGCUUCGUGUCUUCAUACAUUGUAGGCCAAUAGAAUCCACACUGCCAGAUCUUUGAAUGUGUACGGAAUGCUCCAUAGUGACCUCCAUAUGGUGAUGAAUGACAUCUGUCGAUGAUCUUCCAUCCUUCCUCAGUGGUCACACAUCUCCUGAGUAAGCCAUCAGAGCAUACUCGGAAGAGGUAUGGCUCAUCCCAUAUAUGUGAACGACUUUCUUGAAUAAGCUUCUUCUUGUUUGCUCCUGGUCGUACAUACCCUGAAACCAUAAAAUUAACAAUAUCUGCAUACCAGGGGUCAGACCUGCUAAUCCCGUAGAGCAUGUCGUCCCGGAGUGAAUCAUUGAUGGGGGUUUCCUGUGGAUUCUUAAAAUACAUUCUAGACAAGUGAUCAGCAACAAAAUUUUCUACUCCCUUUUUAUCUUUUAUUUCUAAGUCAAAUUCUUGGAGUAAUAAGAUCCAUCUAAUCAGGCGAGGUUUAGCAUCUUUUUUAGUGAGCAAAUAUUUUAGUGCAGCAUGAUCAGUGUAAACAAUUAUUUUAGCUCCAACUAAAUAAGAUCUAAAUUUAUCAAUGGCAAAGACAACAACCAGGAGCUCUUUUUCAGUGGUUGCAUAGUUAAGUUGAGCUCCUGUCAAAGUUUUACUGGCAUAAGCAAUUGCAUGAUGCUUCUUAUCUUUAGUUUGUCCCAAUACUGCCCCCACAGCAUAAUCACUAGCAUCACACAUAAUUUCAAAAGGCAACGACCAAUCAGGGGGUUGAAUGAUUGGUGCAGAGAUGAGUGCUUUCUUUAAUAAAUUGAAAGAUGUUAGACAUGCAUCAUUAAAUUCAAAAGGAGCAUCCUUGGCUAGCAAAAGAGUAAGUGGUCUAGCAAUAAAUGAAAAAUCUUUUAUGAAUCUACGAUAAAAGCAGCAUGGCCAAGAAAGCUUCGAAUUCCUUUUAUAUUCACUGGUGGAGGUAGUUGUUCAAUUACUUCAAUUUUAGCUUUGUCUACCUCAAUACCUCUUUCAGACACUAAGUGUCCUAGCACUAUUCCUUCCCUAACCAUAAAAUGACAUUUUUCCCAAUUAAGGAUUAAGUGCUUUUCUUCACAUCUUUGCUAAACCUUGUCUAAGUUUUCAAGACAACUAUCAAAAGUUUUUCCAUAAACAGAGAAAUCAUCCAUGAAAACUUCCAUAAUCUCUUCAAUCAUAUCAGAAAAUAUAGACAUCAUGCAUCUUUGAAAAGAAGCUGGUGCAUUACAUAACCCAAAAGACAUUCUACGGUAAGCAUAAGUUCCAUAAGGGCAUGUAAAAGUGGUUUUGCUUUGAUCAUCAGGAUGGAUCGGGAUUUGAUGAUACCCUGAAUAUCCAUCUAAGAAACAGAAGAACGAAUGGUUUGCUAACUGCUCUAGCAUUUCAUCUAUAAAAGGUAAAGGAAAGUGAUCCUUUCUCGUGGCUUUGUUUAGUUUUCUAUAAUCUGUGCACAUCCGCCAUCCUAUGACGGUGCGUUGCGGAAUUAGCUCGUUCUUUUCAUUCAUAAUAACUGUCAUGCCUCCCUUUUUAGGCACAACUUGCACUGGGCUUACCCACUCACUGUGCGGCACAGGAUAUAUAAUCCCUGCAUGCAGCAACUUUAUAACUUCCUUUUUAACUACCUCUCUCAUAGUGUUGUUAAGUCUACGUUGGGGUUCUCGAGAGGGUGUAACAGAAGGAUCUGUUGGAAUACGAUGGGUACAAAUCAUAGGACUGAUUCCUGUAAGAUCUUGAAGUGAGUAGCCAAAAACUGAGUGAUGUUUCUCAAGAAUGGUCAUUAAUCACAGAGUUUGAUCCUGAGUAAGUUUAUCGCUAAUGAUCACAGGGAACUCUGGAUUAUUGUUUAAGAAAGCAUAGGUAAGACCGGGUGGUUAAGUUUUAAGCUCUAUGGGAGGUCUAGGUGUUUCUGCAAACUCAUCUAAGGGUUCAGGCUCGGAAGGUUCGUCUUCUUCUUCUGUGAAGAAAGGAGUUUCGUCUUCUAAGUCUGGUUCAUCUAAAAGCUCUAGAGAUGCAGCCUUUACUUCCUCCAUAGGAUCAGGCAAAAGAUAUGACUCGGCCUUAUUAUUUAAGGAGUGUGAACUUGUUAUCGAGAAUUUAAAAGUUUUUCCAAAAGAAAUGUGUAGCUUUCCAGUAUGACCUUCAUAAAGGAGUCUUCUAAAAGGUUGUCCUAUCAACAGGUCGAAGUCCCAUGUAUCAAAGAUAUAGAAGUUCAAAUGAACCAUGGAGCCUUCUACCGUAAGAGGUAGGACAUUAAUAAUUCCAAGACUGGGGACUAAUCGUCCUAAAGAUUCCUUUAUGACCUUUGUUGUGGGGGUUAAGACAUGAUUUUUAAAUAGUUUAAGUGCAAAGGAUUCAGACAUAAUGUUGAUCCCCACGAUAGGAUUAUAGAGAGCAUUAAAUCGAUCAGAAUUAUAAGCACACCGUAUAGUUAUAGAGGGUGUGUCCAAACGGAUCACAUCAGAGGAAAGCUCUAAUUCCUCCAACCAUUCGCUACUCAUUACUGAGAUAAGCUCUCUCAAUUGAUAUUCACUUGGUAAAUAAAUGCUAAACUGGCCGUUUUGGGGUUUGUCAAUAGAAUGGUAGUUUGUAAUAUUUCCAAAAUCGGCAAAAAGAUCGGAUUCUAUAUCCAGCAUGAAGUCCGGUAGUGGAAUUUCUUCCUCUUGUGGCUCAAAACUUGGAAUAGCUAAAGUAGUUGAAGAAUUUGGCAGAGUGUCUGCUUCGGCUUCGUAGGUUUCAUCAUGAAGGGUAUUAUCCAUCUCAGCUUCUAGGAUUCUAUCUAGGAUCACUCUAGCUUCAUCAGCAGGGAUGCGAAAGAAAGAACCUCUAGACAUUGUGUGAAGCAUUUGUUUGUGAUUUUUCUGAAGACCUCGAAAAAAGUGAAAUAAAAGAACAGGGUCUUCAAGAUUAAGGUUUGGACCAGAUUCUAAAAGAUCAGAAAAACGUUUCCAGGAUUUUCCCAAAGUUUCAUUAUCUUUUUGUUUAAAAGAUAGGACUUCGAGUCUAAGGUCGGCUAUACGGUCAAGGGAAUAGAAAUCUAGACAAAAGUUGGCUCGUAAAACUCCCCAUUCACCUUGUUGUUGACUUACCUUCUGACUGUACCAUUGUCUAGCUUCUCCCCUUAAAGAAAAAGGAAAAAGCUUCCAACAUAAAGUCUUAUCAGAAAUGCCUUCAAUGCGAGGACAAUCACAUGUUUGCUCAAAAUCUCUAAUAUGAAGGUAAGGGUUUUCGUCUUCUUUUCCCGAAAAAGAUAGGUUUUGAAUCAUGGCAAUCAACCUAGAACUUAACUUAUACUGGGAUGUUUGGAUAGGCUGUGAUGAUUCCCAUGGUAAAAGGUCAGUUGCUAAAGGGAUUGCAGACUCAUGGAUCGAUUUAGAAUUUUGGUUUUCCAUAAGGUAAGAGUAAAGAAAAUAAAUAAAGAGUAUAAAAGAUAAGAAAAGAUAAAAGUAUAGAUACAAGCUAAUAGUAAGACACAGGUUAUCUCAGCAACCGUCUUUCUCCCCGGCAACGGCGCCAGAAAUGCUUGUUGAUAUUUAGGAACGCAAUAAGGAAUUGAUCCGCAAGCGCACGGAUAUCGGUGAGCACUUCACCCGGGAAAUUAUCCAGAGUAUCGUAUUUAUUUUUUUACCACUAGGAGAAAGAGUGCAUCUGACUAACCGGUCUAUUACUACUAACCUUUAGGCACAAAGAAUGUCUUUCGAUGUGAGUGAUAAAUAGAGAAGACUGCAACCGUAGUUUCCUUCUAACCAUGGUAAGGAUGAUCUACUGUUCUAAUGGGGAGGCUAACGGAAUCUAGACACCACAAAGGAUGUUCGACCCGCACCUAUAAACCCUAUCCUUCCUGCUAACGAGAUGUGAUCUACAAAGGUAGCUUGGAAUUGUCACGUUCCUCACUACUACCACGGUCCAGCUAGUCAGGGAAUAUCUAUGAGUACCCCAGCCU
This 8355-nucleotide long non-coding RNA is filed under the name Sorghum bicolor (sorghum). Its description in RNAcentral is "long non-coding RNA (SBIC_LNC005029)". Lineage: Eukaryota; Viridiplantae; Streptophyta; Magnoliopsida; Poales; Poaceae. The record is from RNAcentral.